AAAUUGAAGAGUUUGAUCAUGGCUCAGAUUGAACGCUGGCGGCAGGCCUAACACAUGCAAGUCGAGCGGAAACGACACUAACAAUCCUUUGGGUGCGUUAAUGGGCGUCGAGCGGCGGACGGGUGAGUAAUGCCUAGGAAAUUGCCUUGAUGUGGGGGAUAAC
RNAcentral lists this ribosomal RNA (163 nucleotides) under Vibrio sp. 10N.286.48.B8. RNAcentral describes it as "partial 16S ribosomal RNA". It matches the Rfam family "Bacterial small subunit ribosomal RNA", at positions 1 to 147 of the family's 1533-position model. Lineage: Bacteria; Pseudomonadati; Pseudomonadota; Gammaproteobacteria; Vibrionales; Vibrionaceae. The record is from RNAcentral.